This 642-nucleotide long non-coding RNA is filed under the name Lupinus mutabilis. RNAcentral's name for it is "partial ncRNA". Lineage: Eukaryota; Viridiplantae; Streptophyta; Magnoliopsida; Fabales; Fabaceae. The record is from RNAcentral.
CAACUGUUGGAUAGUAGGAAGUGGCAACGUAUCUAAUGGUUGGUUUUGAAACCGUGUGGGGGAAAUCAAAGCUUUAUUUGAAAAAGCAUCUUGGGCAGUGGGAUGAGCAAUAUUCAAGGGAUUCUCAGAAAUUUGUGCUGUCUCAUUAAAAGCCUCAUUAAAAGCUGUGGGCCCUUUUGACCGUUUGAGAGGGAAAGUUGGUGGGUUUUCUUGCAACUUUAAUGGAUUAGAUUUGUUGAUGCAAUCCAACAGUGGAGAAAAUUCCACUUGCCCAUUAGAAAGUACAAUGGGAGAUCUAAUAACAUCACAAAUCUUAUCUUUAUCACUUUCUCUCAACCGAAUGCCUUUCUUCUCCAUCACUACCUUUCAAACCGAUUUUGCAUAACCCACCAUCAAUAUUAUCAUUUAAGCCAACUUUUUCCUCAUUAUGUGAGAUUUGGACGUUUUCCAUCUUAGAAGAUUUCACACACGAGGAGAUAUGAGGAAGACCCAAAUCCUUGUUUCUAGAGUGCACGUUGUGGAGGUUAUACUGCCUUUGCGGUCCCUGAAUCGACUUUUCUUUUUUUACACCCUCUUGACGGUCUGAAAAUGCAUCCGAAUCCAAGGAUGUCAUAUGUUUUGGAAAUGGCUCAAAGUGACUUU